AGAGUUUGAUCAUGGCUCAGAGCGAACGCUGGCGGCGUGCUUAACACAUGCAAGUCGAGUGCACGGUAGCAAUACUGGUGCACGGCGCACGGGUGCGUAACACGUGGGCAAUCUACCCUCGAGUGGGGAAUAACCCGCCGAAAGGCGGGCUAAUACCGCAUGACAUUCCUUGGACUUCGGUUCGAGGACUCAAAGCCGUAAGGCGCUUGAGGAGGAGCCCGCGGCCGAUUAGCUAGUUGGCGGGGUAACGGCCCACCAAGGCAAUGAUCGGUAGCUGGUCUGAGAGGACGGCCGGCCACACUGGAACUGAGACACGGUCCAGACUCCUACGGGAGGCAGCAGUGGGGAAUCUUGCGCAAUGGGCGAAAGCCUGACGUAGCGACGCCGCGUGGGGGACGAAGCUUCUCGGAGUGUAAACCCCUUUCGACCCGGACGAAGCCCCGCAAGGGGCGGACGGUACGGGAUGAAGAAGCCCCGGCUAACUACGUGCCAGCAGCCGCGGUAAGACGUAGGGGGCCAGCGUUGCUCGGAAUUACUGGGCGUAAAGAGUCUGUAGGCGGUGCGGCAAGUCGGGAGUGAAAUCUCAGGGCUCAACUCUGAGGCUGCUUCCGAAACUGCCGUGCUCGAGUGCGAGAGAGGUGAGUGGAAUUGCAGGUGUAGCGGUGAAAUGCGUAGAUAUCUGCAGGAACACCAGAGGCGAAGGCGGCUCACUGGAUCGCAACUGACGCUGAGAGACGAAAGCUAGGGGAGCAAACAGGAUUAGAUACCCUGGUAGUCCUAGCCCUAAACCAUCAGACUUGGCGUGGGUCCCGUUCGGGGCCCGUGUCGGAGCUAACGCGUGAAGUCCUGCGCCUGGGGAGUACGGUCGCAAGGCUGAACUCAAAAGGAAUUGACGGGGGCCCGCACAGCGGUGGAACAUGGUGGUUCAAUUCGACGCAACGCGAAGAACC
This 950-nucleotide ribosomal RNA is filed under the name uncultured bacterium. Its description in RNAcentral is "bacterial SSU rRNA". It matches the Rfam family "Bacterial small subunit ribosomal RNA", at positions 8 to 970 of the family's 1533-position model. The record is from RNAcentral.